UCAUUCUGGCUGACGACAGUGUACGGCCCAGUCAACGAUGGGCGCAAAGACGCCUUCCUGGCGGAGCUGAUCCAUGAUACCCCGCCCCAGGGUGAGCCAUGGGUAAUUGUUGGCGAGUUCAACAUCAUCUAUGAAUCCAGGGAAAAGAGCAAUCUCAACCUAAACCGUCACAUCAUUGGCAUGUUCAGAAGGGCAAUUGACACCGCAGACCUGAAGGAGAUCAAGUGCAAAAAUAGGCGAUUCACCUGGUCAAAUGAGCAGGAGAAUCCAACUUUUGUGAGCAUUGACAAGAUUUUCUACAAUGUGGAAUGGGAGAGCCUCUUCCCCUCUCUCAUGCUGAUGGUCGCCUCGACCGCCUGCUCCGACCAUUGCCAGCUGCUGCUAUCUGACACCACCGUGCCGCUGAGGAAGGCCACAUUCAAAUUUGAAUCUUUUUGGUCGUGUUUCUCGCGCUUCAAGGAAACAGCGGAGCGUGCAUGGUAG
This 483-nucleotide ribosomal RNA is filed under the name Triticum aestivum (bread wheat). RNAcentral's name for it is "partial small subunit ribosomal RNA". The record is from RNAcentral. Lineage: Eukaryota; Viridiplantae; Streptophyta; Magnoliopsida; Poales; Poaceae.